Molecule: ribosomal RNA, 468 nt
Filed under: uncultured bacterium
Lineage: Bacteria
Description: partial 16S ribosomal RNA
Rfam family: Bacterial small subunit ribosomal RNA
Source: RNAcentral
GACGAACGCUGGCGGCGUGCUUAACACAUGCAAGUCGAACGGAAAGGCCCUGCUUUUGUGGGGUGCUCGAGUGGCGAACGGGUGAGUAACACGUGAGUAACCUGCCCUUGACUUUGGGAUAACUUCAGGAAACUGGGGCUAAUACCGGAUAGGAGCUCCUGCUGCAUGGUGGGGGUUGGAAAGUUUCGGCGGUUGGGGAUGGACUCGCGGCUUAUCAGCUUGUUGGUGGGGUAGUGGCUUACCAAGGCUUUGACGGGUAGCCGGCCUGAGAGGGUGACCGGCCACCAUGGGCCUGAGAUACGGCCCAGCCUCCUACGGGAGGCAGCAGUGGGGAAUAUUGCACAAUGGGCGGAAGCCUGAUGCAGCAACGCCGCGUGCGGGAUGACGGCCUUCGGGUUGUAAACCGCUUUCGCCUGUGACGAAGCGUGAGUGACGGUAAUGGGUAAAGAAGCACCGGCUAACUACGUG